Molecule: ribosomal RNA, 468 nt
Filed under: uncultured bacterium
Lineage: Bacteria
Description: partial 16S ribosomal RNA
Rfam family: Bacterial small subunit ribosomal RNA
Source: RNAcentral
GGGGGGGGGGGGGGGGGGGGGGGGGGGGGGGGGGGCGGGGGGGGGGGGGCGGGUUGGGUGGGGGGGGGGGGUGGGGGAGGGGUGGGGGGCGCGUGGGGAUCAUGCGGUUGAGUGUGGGGUGACUUCAGGAAGAGGGGGGGAGGACCGGAUGGGAGCUGCUGCCGGAGGGGGGGGGGGGGAAAGGUUCGGAGGUUGGGUAUGGACUCGCGGCGUAUCAGCUUGUUGGUGGGGUAGUGGCGUACCAAGGCUUGGACGGGUAGCCGGCGUUAGAGGGUGACCGGCAACAUUGGGACUGAGAUACGGCCCAGACUCCUACGGGAGCCAGCAGUGGGUAAUAUUGCACAAGGGGCGGAAGCCUGAUGCAGCAACGCCGCGUGCGGGAUGACGGCCUUCGGGUUGUAAACCGCUUGCGCCUUUGACGAAGCGUGAGUGACGGUAAUGGGUAAAGAAGCACCGGCUAACUACGUG